AUCUGAUAUUGGACGACAGAUGUUGCCCUUUUAUGUAAUUAUGUAAUACAAGUUACGAUCAUUUGAAAACACACAUUAAACAGCCAAAUGGAUGCACAAGAGCUAAAAUAGGAGUCAUAGAUCCUAUUGACAACAAUUAUCUGCCAUAUUUUAAUGAUUUUGUAACAUUUGUUUCAAAUAUGACCAACUUAUCCGAAAUCACCAGCACCGUAUCAGGACCCACCAGCACAGUAUUAGGACAUGAAUAAAUUGAGAAAAUGCUAUAUUUUAAUAAAUUGCAAUGUUUUUUUCACAAAAUAGUUUUGUCGUGUGGAUUGCGGUGUAGAAAGCGGAC
RNAcentral lists this long non-coding RNA (334 nucleotides) under Mytilus galloprovincialis (Mediterranean mussel). The record is from RNAcentral. Lineage: Eukaryota; Metazoa; Mollusca; Bivalvia; Mytilida; Mytilidae.